Non-coding RNA from Desmophyllum pertusum, 75 nucleotides. Lineage: Eukaryota; Metazoa; Cnidaria; Anthozoa; Scleractinia; Caryophylliidae. The record is from the annotation of a GenBank genome assembly.
GGCAGUGUGGCCGAGUGGUUUAGGGCGCUGGUGUUGUAAUCCGGUGGUUCCGGGUUCAAGCCCUUCAUUCUGCCA